RNAcentral lists this ribosomal RNA (253 nucleotides) under uncultured bacterium. Its description in RNAcentral is "partial 16S ribosomal RNA". It matches the Rfam family "Bacterial small subunit ribosomal RNA", at positions 524 to 776 of the family's 1533-position model. The record is from RNAcentral.
UACGAAGGAUCCUAGCGUUGUCCGGAUUUACUGGGUUUAAAGGGUGCGUAGGCGGACUAUUAAGUCAGUGGUGAAAGCCGGUAGCUUAACUAUCGAAUUGCCAUUGAAACUGAUAGUCUCGAGUAUAGUUGAGGUAGUUGGAGUGUAUCAUGUAGCGGUGAAAUGCUUAGAUAUGAUACAGAACACCGAUUGCGAAGGCAGAUUACUAAACUAUAACUGACGCUGAGGCACGAAAGCGUGGGGAUCAAACAGG